Molecule: microRNA, 23 nt
Filed under: Gadus morhua (Atlantic cod)
Lineage: Eukaryota; Metazoa; Chordata; Actinopteri; Gadiformes; Gadidae
Description: gmo-miR-725-5p
Gene: gmo-miR-725-5p
Source: miRBase by way of RNAcentral
AGCUGGAAACUUUGCCUGCAAAU